RNAcentral lists this ribosomal RNA (450 nucleotides) under uncultured bacterium. RNAcentral describes it as "bacterial SSU rRNA". It matches the Rfam family "Bacterial small subunit ribosomal RNA", at positions 354 to 796 of the family's 1533-position model. The record is from RNAcentral.
GUGGGGAAUCUUGGGCAAUGGGCGCAAGCCUGACCCAGCGACGCCGCGUGGGGGAUGAAGGCCUUCGGGUUGUAAACCCCUGUCAGGGGGGGCGAAAGCCUUCCGGUGAAUAGCCGGGAGGUCUGACAGUACCCCCAAAGGAAGCCCCGGCUAACUCCGUGCCAGCAGCCGCGGUAAUACGGAGGGGGCUAGCGUUAUUCGGAAUUACUGGGCGUAAAGCGCGCGCAGGUGGCGCAGUAAGUGGCUGGUGAAAGCCCUCGGCUCAACCGAGGAACUGCCUGCCAAACUGUUGCGCUUGAGGCCGGGAGGGGGAAGCGGAAUUCCUGGUGUAGCGGUGAUAUGCGUAGAUACCAGGAGGAACACCGGUGGCGAAGGCGGCUUCCUGGACCGGCUCUGACACUCAUGCGCGAAAGCGUGGGGAGCAAACAGGAUUAGAUACCCGAGUAGUCC